UACAGGGGGGGCAAGCGUUGUUCGGAAUUACUGGGCGUAAAGGGCUCGUAGGCGGCCAACUAAGUCCGACGUGAAAUCCCAAGGCUUAACUUUGGAACUGCGUCGGAUACUGGAUGGCUUGAAUUCGGGAGAGGGAUGCAGAGUUCCAGGUGUAGCGGUGAAAUGCGCAGAUAUCAGGAGGAACACCGAUGGCGAAGGCAGGUCUCUGGGCAUUAACUGACGCUGAGGAGCGAAAGCAUGGGGAGCGAACAGG
RNAcentral lists this ribosomal RNA (253 nucleotides) under uncultured bacterium. Its description in RNAcentral is "partial 16S ribosomal RNA". It matches the Rfam family "Bacterial small subunit ribosomal RNA", at positions 524 to 776 of the family's 1533-position model. The record is from RNAcentral.